This 399-nucleotide ribosomal RNA is filed under the name uncultured bacterium. RNAcentral describes it as "bacterial SSU rRNA". It matches the Rfam family "Bacterial small subunit ribosomal RNA", at positions 29 to 424 of the family's 1533-position model. The record is from RNAcentral.
AUUGAACGCUGGCGGCAUGCCUUACACAUGCAAGUCGAGCGGCAGCGCGGGGGCAACCCUGGCGGCGAGCGGCGCACGGGUGAGUAAUACAUCGGAACGUGUCCUUUCGUGGGGGAUAACCAGUCGAAAGAUUGGCUAAUACCGCAUGAGAUCUCACGAUGAAAGCGGGGGAUCCGAGGGUAACUUCGGGCCUCGCGCGAUUGGAGCGGCCGAUGUCGGAUAGCUAGUUGGCGGGGUAAAAGCCCACCAAGGCGACGAUCCGUAGCUGGUUUGAGAGAACGACCAGCCACACUGGGACUGAGACACGGCCCAGACUCCUACGGGAGGCAGCAGUGGGAAUUUUGGACAAUGGGGGCAACCCUGAUCCAGCCAUGCCGCGUGUGUGAAGAAGGCCUGGUU